UACGGAAGGCAGCAGUGGGGAAUAUUGCACAAUGGGCGAAAGCCUGAUGCAGCUAUGCCGCGUGUAUGAAGAAGGCCUUAGGGUUGUAAAGUACUUUCAUCGGGGAGGAAAAAACAAAACUAAUAAUUUUAUUUCUUGACGUUACCCGAAAAAGAAGCACCGGCUAACUCCGUGCCAGCAGCCGCGGUAAUACGGAGGGUGCUAGCGUUAAUCAGAAUUACUGGGCGUAAAGAGCACGUAGGUGGUUUUUUUAAGUCAGAUGUGAAAUCCCUGGGCUUAACCUAGGAACUGCAUUUUGAAACUGAAAUACUAGAGUAUCGUAGAGGGAGGUAGAAUUCUAGGUGUAGCGGUGAAAUGCGUAGAUAUCUGGAGGAAUACCUGUGGCGAAAGCGGCCUCCUAAACGAAUACUGACACUGAGGUGCGAAAGCGUGGGGAGCAAAACAGGGAUUUAGAUACC
RNAcentral lists this ribosomal RNA (458 nucleotides) under uncultured bacterium. RNAcentral describes it as "bacterial SSU rRNA". It matches the Rfam family "Bacterial small subunit ribosomal RNA", at positions 340 to 786 of the family's 1533-position model. The record is from RNAcentral.